GAUGAAGACGUAGCAAAAUGCGAUACUUGGUGUGAAUUGCAGAAUCCCGUGAACCAUCGAGUUUUUGAACGCAAGUUGCGCCCGAAGCCUUUUGGCCGAGGGCACGUCUGCCUGGGCGUCACGCAUCGCGUCGCCCCCCACAAUUCUCCGUAAAGGGAACAUGUGUUUUGGGGGCGGAUAUUGGUCUCCCGUGCUCAUGGCGUGGUUGGCCGAAAUAGGAGUCCUUUCGAUGGACGCACGAACUAGUGGUGGUCGUAAAAACCCUCGUCUUUUGUUUCGUGCUGUUGGUCGCAAGGUAAACUCUUUAAAAACCCCAAUGUGUCGUCUCUUGACGACGCUUCGACCGCGACCCCAGGUCAGGCGGGACUACCCGCUGAGUUUAAGCAUAUCAAUAAGCGGAGGA
Molecule: unclassified non-coding RNA, 403 nt
Filed under: soil metagenome
Description: partial contains 5.8S ribosomal RNA, internal transcribed spacer 2, and large subunit ribosomal RNA
Rfam family: 5.8S ribosomal RNA (bases 1-121)
Source: RNAcentral